This 301-nucleotide transfer-messenger RNA is filed under the name Alphaproteobacteria bacterium. It matches the Rfam family "Alphaproteobacteria transfer-messenger RNA". Rfam says of the family: Bacterial tmRNA, also known as 10Sa RNA or SsrA, is named for its dual tRNA and mRNA-like properties. Its role is to liberate the mRNA from a stalled ribosome. Lineage: Bacteria; Pseudomonadati; Pseudomonadota; Alphaproteobacteria. The record is from RNAcentral.
GCUAUUCAAAUCUUAAUCUCCAUGCCCUAUAUAUAAUAUGUUGGGCAACCAACUACGGCAAUAAACUGAUGUAUGGAAUAGACGUUGCGGACCCGGGGGCGGUACCCGGCGCCUCCACCAUUUAUGGGGGCGAAAUAGGAUCGACGUGCGUAAUAAAGAUAUAACUUUUGCUCAGCAUGAUACCGCUGUGACGGGUCAAAAUUUGUAGAUGCAAACGAUAAUAACGAAGCAUUUGCUGUAGCUGCCUAAUAGGUUAGUUACGCGGGGUCCGAAGGGCACCUAGCAACAGAAGCCCUUCACU